This 448-nucleotide ribosomal RNA is filed under the name uncultured bacterium. Its description in RNAcentral is "bacterial SSU rRNA". It matches the Rfam family "Bacterial small subunit ribosomal RNA", at positions 330 to 794 of the family's 1533-position model. The record is from RNAcentral.
GCCAGACUCCUACGGGAGGCAGCAGUGGGGAAUAUUGCACAAUGGGGGAAACCCUGAUGCAGCGACGCCGCGUGAGUGAAGAAGUAUUUCGGUAUGUAAAGCUCUAUCAGCAGGAACGAGACAAGACGGUACCUGACUAAGAAGCCCCGGCUAACUACGUGCCAGCAGCCGCGGUAAUACGUAGGGGGCAAGCGUUAUCCGGAAUCACUGGGUGUAAAGGGAGCGUAGACGGCUGAGCAAGCCUGAAGUGAAAGGCGGGGGCCCAACCCCCGGACUGCUUUGGGAACUGUACGGCUGGAGUGCAGGAGAGGUAAGUGGAAUUCCUAGUGUAGCGGUGAAAUGCGUAGAUAUUAGGAGGAACACCAGUGGCGAAGGCGGCUUACUGGACUGUAACUGACGUUGAGGCUCGAAAGCGUGGGGAGCAAACAGGAUUAGAUACCCUUGUAGU